CGGGACGGGGUGAGUAAUGUCUGGGAAACUGCCUGAUGGAGGGGGGUAACUACUGGAAACGGUAGCUAAUACCGCAUAACGUCGCAAGACCAAGAGGGGACCUUCGGGCCUCUUGCCAUCGGAUGUGCCCAGAUGGGAUUAGCUAGUAGGUGGGGUAACGGCUCACCUAGGCGACGAUCCCUAGCUGGUCUGAGAGGAUGACCAGCCACACUGGAACUGAGACACGGUCCAG
This 232-nucleotide ribosomal RNA is filed under the name uncultured bacterium. Its description in RNAcentral is "partial 16S ribosomal RNA". It matches the Rfam family "Bacterial small subunit ribosomal RNA", at positions 104 to 334 of the family's 1533-position model. The record is from RNAcentral.